Molecule: transfer-messenger RNA, 167 nt
Filed under: Hyphomicrobiaceae bacterium
Lineage: Bacteria; Pseudomonadati; Pseudomonadota; Alphaproteobacteria; Hyphomicrobiales; Hyphomicrobiaceae
Description: partial transfer-messenger RNA
Rfam family: Alphaproteobacteria transfer-messenger RNA
About the family: Bacterial tmRNA, also known as 10Sa RNA or SsrA, is named for its dual tRNA and mRNA-like properties.
Source: RNAcentral
AGGCAUGAUACCGCCGUUAUCGGGUCACCCUAAUAGUUGCUAAUGACAACUAUGCUGAGACGUCGGCCGUCGCUGCUUAAGCGGCGUCCUAGUCUCAAAUCAAGCCCUGGGCGGUAGCACGUCCAGGCGCGGUUCGGAGGGCACCGGGCAACAGAAAGCCCUCCACU